UUUCCCAAUUUGUUUGGUACCAGGCACGAUUAACAAAGUAGGGGGGAAAAUGCUGACACUGGGACCAGUGACUUUUCAUAACAUUCAGUGACUGCUAAGUAGCAAUCUAUGACUUUACAAAGCAACCAAUGACUCCCAUAGCAACCAUUUACUUUCCAUAGCAACUAGUGAUAUUUCAUACUAACUGGAGACUGCCAUAGCAACCAUGACUUUCCAUGAUGAAAUUGACUUCCCUUAAUAACCAGUAAUUUCCAUAAUGACCCUUGAAAUACAUUUCUCAAGAACAUGUACCUAUUAUUUCUACCAGCAUCAACUUAAUCCUUAGUAACCAGUGGUAUCCAUAGCAACUAGUGACUUAUUUUCCAAAGCAACCUUUAUCUUUCCAUAGCAACUGUUGGCUUUCUUUUCUUUUCAUAUCAGUUACAGACUUUUCAUAAGAACCAGUGACUUCCAUAGCAAAAUUUUAUUUUCUAUAUAGCAACCAGUACCAUUAACUUUCAUAGCAACCUGCUGGUCAGCCGGAAUGGUAGCCACUGCAGCCUUUAAAGAGCCAGGCUUUAUUGUUUAGCUAACAAAAUUGAUAAUGGAAGUUUUAUAAAUGAAAGCUAGACAAAGUCUAUUUCAGAAAUUUAGCAGGUUUAGCAUUUAUCUGUAUUUAUUUACUCUUAUUAUUUUCCUAAAAUUUAAAUACUAUAACACAAUUGAAUUAGUUUGUAAUGGUACAACAGUUAAAAAAUAGUUGCUUAAAAUUUUAGGGUCCAAGCCUGUAAACUGAGCCAAGCAAAAUAGAUGUGAUGGAGGAGACAAGUGAUAACAAACAAAUCAAAAGAAGAAAAUGUCAUAUCUUGGAUAAAAAUGGUUACCUUCAACAACUAGUUAUACUGGUCACAGUUAAAUUAAAUAUUGUUGUCAAGAAGAUUUUCCCUAUUCAUCAUAGAGGAGCAAUGGAACAUGUGCUUAAACUUUGCAUAAGUUUUGUUGAAACUUUCAUUUGAUAUACUGAAGAUGGUUGUUGAAUAUUGUUUGGUAACAAUAUCUAUAUGGCUAUAUGGCUGUAAAGAGAGAUGUUGAAAGGUGCAAUUUUAGUGCAAAAAUGUGCAUGUUUAACAACAUGUUGAAUGAACAAACAUUAUAAUGCAGUAAAACACUAGGAAUCAUUAUGUUUUCAAAACUUUAUAACAACUUAGUAAAUGUGUUGGAAUGUCCAUAUAUCCAUCCACCAAGAGGAGGUAUCUACAUGUUAGUGAAACUUAAUACAUUAUAGAUGGAUAAAUCUCAUUGGGGAGAAAUGAUGUGUUGAAUUUUAAUAUGCCCGAAACAAUUUCGGGCAUAUUAUGUUAUACCCCCUGGCAUCUGUUCCUCCGUACGAACCCAGAGGUACUUGUGUGACUGGGUAUCAGUAUAUAAAUAACACAUGGGUUUGUUAGUAACAGUAAAAAUAUCAUCCCGAAGAAAAUACUGUUACCCAAGGAUGAUUGUCCAUAUUAUUAUAAGGUAGAAGACACCUAUUGAUUUUGAGGUCACAAGAUCAAAGGUCAAGAACUGAAAACAGUUUCCGGAGCAUAACUUAAGUUCCAUUUGGCCCACAGUGUUCAAACUUCAUAGGAUGAUUGUCUAUAUUGGGUAGAAAAUCCCUAUUGAUUUUGGGGUCACAAGGUCAAAGGUCAAGGUCAUUAUUACUUUAGAACUGAAAACUGUUUCCGGAACAUAACUUAAGUUUCAUUUGGCCCACAAUAUAAAAACUUCAUAGGAUGAUUGUCCAUAUUGGGUAGAAGACCCCUAUUGAUUUUGGGGUCACAAGGUCAAGGUCAUUAUUGCCUUAAAACUGAAAACAGUUUCCGGAGCAUAGCUUAAGUUCCAUUUGGCCCACAGUGUUCAAACUUCAUAGGAUGAUUGUCUAUAUUGGGUAGAAAAUCCCUAUUGAUUUUGGGGUCACAAGGUCAAAGGUCAAGGUCAUUAUUACUUUAGAACUGAAAACUGUUUCCGGAACAUAACUUAAGUUUCAUUUGGCCCACAAUAUAAAAACUUCAUAGGAUGAUUGUCCAUAUUGGGUAGAAGACCCCUAUUGAUUUUGGGGUCACAAGGUCAGAGGUCAAGAUCAUUAUUACUUUAAAACUGAAAACAGUUUUCGGAUCAUGACUUAAGUUCCAUUUGGCCCACAGUAUUCAUACUUUAUAGGAUGAUUGGCCAUAUUGGGUAGAACACCACUAUUGAUUUUGGGAUCACAAGGUCAGAGGUCAAGGUCACUAUUACUUUAAAAGUGAAAACAGUUUCCGGAGAAUAACUUAAGUUCCAUUUGGCCCACAUUUGGCCUAGCGGUGCUCUUAAUAUUUUUCAGCUCAAUUUUUUUUAAGAAUAAAAGAGUGUGAGCUAUUGCUAUGUACAGUCAUGCCUUACUUUCUUGUUGUCAUCCUAAAACUUUAACAUUGGCAAUUAUUUCAUUACAAAAUGGAUUCAAUUUUCUUCACAACAACCCUUUUAACAAGACCUUCAAGUAGACCAGACUGAACUUGACCUUGAGUCUUAAAAUAUCUUGACCUUCCAAGUCACGGUGUCAAAUGUUUAAACUAUCAAUUUUGCUUGAUAUUUGCUUAUUUGGCUGUAACUUUGUUAUUCUUUUUAGCUCACCUGAGCUUGCGUUUGAACAUGGGUUAUCUCAGAUGAAAAACUAGGUCACAGGAGCUAAAAAUAGAAAAAUCUUGUUAACACUCUAAUGGCUACUGUUUUCAUCCAAAUAUCCUGGACUGAAAGUUUGUUUUGAUGAUUUUUAUAUCAAAUUUGAAUAUGGGUCACCUGGGGUCAAAAACUAGGUCACACUGCUCAAAUAUGGAAAAUCCUUGUUAACACUCUAGUGGUCACAUGUUUGACUCGCCUGUCAUGAAACUUGGUCAGGAUGCUUGUCUAGGUAAUUGCUCGGAUGAGUUCGAACAUGUGUCAUCUCAGAUGAAAUACUAGGUCACAGGAGUUUAAUAUAAUAUGGGUUUGAUGGGUCAGGUGAGCGAUCUAGGGUCAUUUUGGCCCUCUUGUUGGCUGUAACUUUGUAAGUAAUCAAUGGAGUAUUUCAAACUUAGACAAAACAACCAUUUGGACAAGACAUGCUGAAAGGUUGAACAGACCUUGACCUUGAGCUUUAAAUCACAUUGACUGUCAAGUUCAAAUUAUUGAAUUUUGGUUAAGUUGUCAUGAGGGAACGGUUCCCUCUUGCCAGUAACAUGGCUCUAAAUUUCUAUAUUACUGCAUUUUAUUCUAUCAAAUUGUUAUACAUGUAUCUGUUUUGUUAAGGGGAACGGUUCCACUUUAGAAAGUUUGUUAUAGAUAAGUUUUGAAAUUUAUUUUUUAUUUUGAGGAGGGAAUGGUUCCCUCUUACUGGUAACCUGGCUCUAAAUUUCUAAAUUAUUGCAUUUUAUUCUAUCAAAUUGUUAUAUCUAUUUUGUUAAGGGGGAACAGUUCCACUUUAGAAAAUUGUUAAGUGAUAAGUUUUGAAAUUUAUUUUUUAUUUUGAUGAGGGAACGGUUCCCUCUUACUGGUAACCUGGCUCUAAAUUUCUAAAUUAUUGCAUUUCAUUCUAUCAAAUUGUUAUAUCUAUUUUGUUAAGGGGGAACGGUUCCACUCUAGAAAAUGUGUCGUAGUUAAGUUUUGAAAUUUGUCUUUUAUUUCGAUGAGGGAACGGUUCCCUCUUACUGGUAACCUGGCUCUAAAUUAUUGCAUUUUAUUCUAUCAAAUUGUUAUAUCUAUUUUGUUAAGGGGGAACGGUUCCACUUUAGAAAAUUGUUAAGUGAUAAGUUUUGAAAUUUAUUUUUUAUUUUGAUGAGGGAACGGUUCCCUCUUACUGGUAACCUGGCUCUAAAUUUCUAAAUUAUUGCAUUUUAUUCUAUCAAAUUGUUAUAUAUAUUUUAAGGGGGAACGGUUCCACUUUAGAAAAUUGGUAAGUGAUAAGUUUUGAAAUUUAUUUUUUAUUUUGAUGAGGGAACGGUUCCCUCUUACUGGUAACCUGGCUCUAAAUUCUAAAUUAUUGCAUUUUAUUCUAUCAAAUUGCUUUAUCUGUUUUGUUAAGGGGGAACGGUCCACUUUAGAAAAAGUGUUACAGAUAAGUUUUGAAAUUUGUUUUUUUAUUUCGAUGAGGGAACGGUUCCCUCUUACCGGUAAACUUGCUCUAAAUUUCUAUAUAGCUGCAUUUUAUUCUAUCAAAUUGUUAUAUCUGUUUUGUUAAGGGGGAAUGGUUCCACUUUAGAAAAUGUAUCAUAGAUAAGUUUUGAAAUUUAUUUUUUUAUUUUGAUGAGGGAACGGUUCCCUCUUACCAUUUACAUGGCUCUAAAAUUCUAAAUUAUUGCAUUUUAUUCUAUCAAAUUGUAAUAUCUGUUUUGUUAAGGGGGAACGGUUCCACUUUAGAAAAAGUGUUUCAGAUAAGUUUUGAAAUUUGUUUUUUAUUUCGAUGAGGGAACGGUUCCCUCCUACCGGUAACCUUGCUCUAAAUUUCUAAAUUAUUGCACUUUAUUCUAUCAAAUUGUUUUAUCUAUUUUGUUAAGGGGGAACGGUUCCACUUUAGAAAAUUGGUAAGUGAUAAGUUUUGAAAUUUAUUUUUUAUUUUUAUGAGGGAACGGUUCCCUCUUACUGGUAACCUGGCUCUAAAAUUCAACAUUAUUGCAUUUUAUUCUAUCAAAUUUUUAAAUCUGUUUUGUUAAGGGGGAACGGUUCCACUUUAGAAAAUGUGUCGUAGUUAAGUUUUGAAAUUUGUCUUUUAUUUCGAUGAGGGAAUGGUUCCCUCUUACUUGUAACCUUGUUCGUAAUUUCUAAAUUAUUGCAUUUUAUUCUAUCAAAUUGUUAUAUAUAUUUUAAGGGGGAACGGUUCCACUCUAGAAAAUGUGUCAUAGAUAAGUUUUGAAAUUUAUUUUUUAUUUCGAUGAGGGAACGGUUCCCUCUUACCGGUAACAUGGCUCUCAAUUUCUAUAUUACUGCAUUUCAUUCUAUCCAAUUGUUAUACAUGUACCAGUUUUGUUAAGGGGGAACGGUUCCACUUUAGAAAAUUUGUUAUAGAUCAGUUUUGAAAUUUAUUUUUUAUUUUGAGGAGGGAACGGUUCCCUCUUACCAUUAACAUGGCUCUAAAUUUCUAAAUUAUUGCAUUUUAUUCUAUCAAAUUGUUAUAUCUAUUUUGUUAAGGGGGAACGGUUCCCCUUUAGAAAAUAUAUUAUGAUAAGUUUUAAAAUUUACUUUUUAUUUCGAUGAGGGAAUGGUUCCCCCUUAAGCAUAAUGUAUCUCUUAUUACUGAAAAAUUGCUUUAUAUUUAUCAAAACAUGUUGUAUUCUGUACAUGGCUUUUGUUCUUCGGGGGAACGGUUCCCCCGAAAACAUUUGCAAAAGAAACAAAAAAUAAAAUUUGGAUGUUUACUUUAGCUGUUUGUCUUUUACUUUUCACAAAACAAUACCAUUACUUUAGCUGAAAAUAAUGUAAAAAUAGUGCAUUAAAAAGGGGAACGAGUGUAUUUCCCCUUUUUAAAAUAUAUCGAGU
This is a long non-coding RNA of Ruditapes philippinarum (Manila clam), 5505 nucleotides long. RefSeq lists it as uncharacterized. The record is from RefSeq and is a predicted model, not a curated record. NCBI's taxonomy places the organism in Eukaryota, Metazoa, Mollusca, Bivalvia, Venerida, Veneridae. The transcript has 3 exons.